ACGAACGCUGGCGGCGUGCUUAACACAUGCAAGUCGAACGAUGAAGAAGAGAAACGCGAACUUCGGUUCAAAUUUCACUUCGGAUUAGUGGCAGACGGGUGAGUAACGCGUGAGCAACCUACCUCUUACAAAGGGAUAGCCUCGGGAAACCGUGAUUAAUACCAUAUGACACAUUCAUAAGGCAUCUUAAGAAUGUUAAAGCUACGGCGGUAAGAGAUGGGCUCGCGUCCCAUUAGCUAGUUGGUGAGGUAACGGCCCACCAAGGCGACGAUGGGUAACCGGCCUGAGAGGGUGAACGGUCACAUUGGAACUGAGACACGGUCCAAACUCCUACGGGAGGCAGCAGUGGGGAAUAUUGCACAAUGGAGGGAACUCUGAUGCAGCGACGCCGCGUGAGCGAUGAAGGAAUUAGUUUCGUAAAGCUCUGUUAUAUGGGAAGAAAAGGACUGUACCAUAGGAGAAAGCCCCGGCUAAAUACGUG
RNAcentral lists this ribosomal RNA (481 nucleotides) under uncultured bacterium. RNAcentral describes it as "partial 16S ribosomal RNA". It matches the Rfam family "Bacterial small subunit ribosomal RNA", at positions 29 to 507 of the family's 1533-position model. The record is from RNAcentral.